This 413-nucleotide ribosomal RNA is filed under the name uncultured Singulisphaera sp. Its description in RNAcentral is "bacterial SSU rRNA". It matches the Rfam family "Bacterial small subunit ribosomal RNA", at positions 354 to 776 of the family's 1533-position model. The record is from RNAcentral. Lineage: Bacteria; Pseudomonadati; Planctomycetota; Planctomycetia; Isosphaerales; Isosphaeraceae.
GUCGAGAAUCUUCGGCAAUGGGCGCAAGCCUGACCGAGCGACGCCGCGUGGAGGACGAAGGCCUUCGGGUUGUAAACUCCUGUCGAGGGGGAGGAAGGGGCAACCUUGACCGAUCCCUGGAGGAAGCACGGGCUAAGUUCGUGCCAGCAGCCGCGGUAAGACGAACCGUGCGAACGUUAUUCGGAAUCACUGGGCUUAAAGCGCGUGUAGGCGGGAUGGUACGUCCGUCGCUGAAAUCCCCCGGCUCAACCGGGGAACGGGCGGGGAUACGGCCAUCCUGGAGGGAGGUAGGGGGGUCUGGAACUUCCGGUGGAGCGGUGAAAUGCGUUGAGAUCGGAAGGAACGCCCGUGGCGAAAGCGAGACCCUGGACCUCUUCUGACGCUGAGACGCGAAAGCUAGGGGAGCGAACGGG